This 472-nucleotide ribosomal RNA is filed under the name uncultured bacterium. RNAcentral describes it as "bacterial SSU rRNA". It matches the Rfam family "Bacterial small subunit ribosomal RNA", at positions 355 to 825 of the family's 1533-position model. The record is from RNAcentral.
UGGGGAAUUUUGGACAAUGGGGGCAACCCUGAUCCAGCAAUGCCGCGUGAGUGAAGAAGGCCUUCGGGUUGUAAAGCUCUUUUGUCAGGGAAGAAACGGUAGUAGCGAAUAACUAUUACUAAUGACGGUACCUGAAGAAUAAGCACCGGCUAACUACGUGCCAGCAGCCGCGGUAAUACGUAGGGUGCAAGCGUUAAUCGGAAUUACUGGGCGUAAAGCGUGCGCAGGCGGUUGUGUAAGUCAGAUGUGAAAUCCCCGGGCUCAACCUGGGAAUUGCAUUUGAGACUGCACGGCUAGAGUGUGUCAGAGGGGGGUAGAAUUCCACGUGUAGCAGUGAAAUGCGUAGAUAUGUGGAGGAAUACCGAUGGCGAAGGCAGCCCCCUGGGAUAACACUGACGCUCAUGCACGAAAGCGUGGGGAGCAAACAGGAUUAGAUACCCUAGUAGUCCCUGAGCGGGCUGGCAAGGCGCAU